UCAUAAAUGUAAGGGUAUCAAAAUGAAUAAGGUCUGACGGGUUGACCCGUUAAUCCAACAAGAAAAAAAUGGGUUGGUUUACAUGUUUGAAUCCAUCAGCCCGAAAAAGUCUGACCCUCCUGGUAUGUCAGCCUGUGUCUGGUUGUCGAGCCACAAGACGAGUCAACCCGCUGUAACCCGCAACAUGUACUAAGUUUAAUAAUUUUCCCAUUUUCUUUAUUCAUUCUUCAUCGCCAACAAAAACCACCACACGUCAGUGACAUAGAGAAGAACGCCUUUUUCCUCCCAGAUCGAGUGUGACUCCGAUGACUCUUCACAACGACGACUUCCCCAUAACGAUGACACACAUAGAUUGCGUAUCAUUAUUAUGCGUAAGAGAAAGCCUUUUCCUCUGCGUCAAUUAUUUCUUCUUCUCCUUCUAUGUGGCUUUAUCGGUGGUGACACGCCAUCACUAGAGGUUUUGUGUGUGGCCAAGAACAACGCGGAGGACACUGUUGUAGUUGGUGAUUAAGUGGGCCUGCGACAUCGACGAUGCCAAUUGUGGAGUGAUCCAGGUAGGAGGACCUUGCUUAAACCCUGUUUCGACUCUACUUUGACCCUAAAUGUGUAAAAAAAAGGCGAGCCAACACACCCAUUGCAAGGCAGGUUCAAGCUCCCAACCUGUUUUCAAAUGUCGGACUCGUCUGACCCGGCCCAACCCGAUUUUGGUGGGCCAAAAACAAGGCGGAAUAACAUUUUUUACACCCCCUUGAUAAUGGUAUUGAUACAUUGUAUUUUAAAAAUAAGUGAUUCUUUAAUGCAUUAAAAAAAAUAAGAAUGUUAAUUAGUACAACCAAAUUGUUAUAACAAUAUGAAGAGGGAAUCCCCCAUUGAGUUGCUUCACCAAAUUAGGAGUGCUUGGGGAUGUUACUCGUGCAAGAAAGGAUCUAAAACAGUGGGUAAUUAAUGAGAAGGUAUCUUAUCUCCAAUAAAUUAUGGAGAGAGUUAAAGUGGUCAAAUUGCCUUUCAAAUCAUAAUCAAUUCCUAUAGAAUAGCCAUAACAUAUUGAGAUUAAGGAAAUGAAAGUUUUAAAAGAAUAAAAGGACAAGAUGAAAUUAAAAAAAAAUGCUAAGCUAAUUAACGAUCUCCAGAGUCUCCGACACAAAUAUGUAGACCUUAGGUAAGAUAAUGAGGAAAAAACACAAAUGUGUGAAGAGAUGUUAAAAAAACAAAGAGACGAUAAGGAUUAUGUUUUCAUAAUCAAACAAGACCUUAGUACAGCCAAUACAUAAUUAACAUUGAGAAUAUGGGAAACGAAUGUGUAACAUCACAUGGGUGCCAAAAAAGUCAUAUGUAUGGAGAACUUCAAAGUGAUACGAAUGAAAAACUAAAGAGGUUGCACGACUCAAAAAUCAAUAUCAGUAAGUUGAACAACUAAUGAAGGAAAUAGUGGCAACUUAUGAGGAGAAGAUGGAUAAAGAGUGUUAACAGCAAGAAAAAUUAGAGAAGAGACAUCUGGAGGUACUGGCUCAAAUGGAUUAGUGCAUGACUGAAUAGGAUAGGAUCAUAGAGCACUAGAAGAAAUGCUUCUCCCAAUUGGUUACCUUAGUCGAUGGAGUUAAUGAAGAUGUCUCAAAGUUAUUAGGUGAUAUUGAGUCUGCGAUGUCGAUGUUUAACUUGCCUUAGGAAAUUGAAGUUUUCCUCAAUUAUUGAAAGAAGAUGAUAGGUGAAAUGAAGGAUGUGAUGGCUAGGUGUAGAGUUUGCUAGUUAGGCUUUCCUUUGCUACACAUGUUAUGAAAUUGUAAAUAUUAUAGUAGUUUGGUUAUAUUGAGUAUGUAGUUAGUACGGCAAUCUCUAUUGUGGAAGUACAAUAACAUAGUUAGUACAACCAAACUGUCAUAAUAUUUACAACAUGAUUCAGCUCGACUUGGGCCUAACUCAACCUGGUCUUUACUGAGUUGGGUCUGAAGUGGUAUUGAACGAGCUAGGCUCGACUUAGACUUGAUCGAAAUAGUAACAACAUGGGUUUAGCCCUACUUGGUUGAACAUGGGUUGGCCCCAACUAGAAUGAACAUAGUCUCAUCCCAACUCAAGCGAAUGGGGUCCAAUUGCCUCAACCUAUGCCUAGACUGAUUUUGGUUUGACUAGGGAUUAAAUCGAGUUAUUUCAACCUAGGCUUGGACCUAUUCCUUUUGACCUGAUAUUGGCCUUGAUCGACUCAUCUCUAUUUGGACCUGGGCCAACUCGGCUUGAUUCAAGCAAUGGUCGACUCACCUAAGCUUACAGUUGGGAAAACUCACCCUGACCUUCGUCUAGGUUGACUAGCCUUGACCUAUGUUUGGGUUGACUUAGUUCAACUUGGACUCGAGCAUACUUGGUUUAACUUAGUCCUUGGCCAACUUGAAUUGACCAAGACUCGGCCCAACUUAACUUGACUAAGGAUUAAGUUGACUCAGCUUGACUUUGGCCAUAGCCAACUCAAUUUGACCUUAGCUCGACCUAGACUUAUAUUGAUUUGUUUGGACUUGGAUUUGACUUAUAAUUGGUUAAACUCAACUCGACCUAGAUCUGGGUCAAUUUAACUCGACUUAGAUUUGAACCAACUUAAUUUGACAUGAACGUAAGUCAAUUUAGUCAACUUGACUCAACUUUGCAAGAGUCUAACCCUAACUCUAUCUUACUAAGUCUAGCCCACUUACCACUUUAUAACAUGAAAUGAUAUACAUUCACCUUGCUUUUAAAUUUUCAUAUUUAAUUAUUUCAUAUAUUAUCAAAGACAAAUUUAGUUAAAUGUAUUGGAUUUAAGAUUCAAAAAUACGUAUUAGAAUUUAAGAUAAAUCUAUUUAAAUAUACUUAAAAUAAUAUGAAUUUAAAUAACCCUCGUAUGUUUUUCUCUUUGACAUGGAGAUAUAAAAGACAACUCACUCUUAAGAAAAAGAGAUAUUUUAAUACAAUGAGAACUACCUUUAGA
This is a long non-coding RNA of Vigna unguiculata (cowpea), 2950 nucleotides long. RefSeq lists it as uncharacterized. Lineage: Eukaryota; Viridiplantae; Streptophyta; Magnoliopsida; Fabales; Fabaceae. The record is from RefSeq and is a predicted model, not a curated record.